CCUCACUGUCCAGUAUCCACAGCCCACAUCGCCGCUGUCCGCUAUGAUCCGUUCAUCCACCCCAUGUCCCACAGGCUCCGCUUUUCACCCACACUCCUCUCCUCCCGGGCAAGCCUGCCAGUCCCACAGGGACAGACACCCACCUAUACACUUCUACCCAGGUGAGAGCUGCGUUCAAAUGACUGAUAUGUGAAACCAUUCUAUCCAUGGAUCAUGUAUAUUUAUCUAAAAAUGUUUAAUCUUUAAUCAUCUAAAUAUACUGGCAUCAAAUGAAACAUUCAGAAGCCUAUAAUCUGUAAUUCACUUUUCACAUUUUAGUUAGAAUAGUUCCUGCUCCUGCAAAUUCUUACAUAUGUGCUUCACUUUACAUCUUCACAUCAAUAAUGUGAUUUUAUAGUAGGAAUGGACUAGAACAAGAAAGUCUGGAUCUGAAUCUAGUUCAUGUCAACAUUCAUGAGGUGUCUAGAUCUGGGUUUUGGGUUCAGGCCCAUCACUGCUUUGAAAUUUGAAAUUUGAUUUAGUGUCUAAUAAUACUUUGUUGAAGAUUGCCAGCAUUUCCAUUAUAAACCCACUUAGGAAGUUUAUAAUUCAGCUAUAAAAAUAUUUGUCCUGGGCUAAAUCAUGUAAUAUAAAAGUCCAAAUGAAAACAUGGUUUUGCCAUUUGAACAACAGCAGUACAGAACAACUUUGAAGAUUACUCCUUUCAAGCAGUUGUGUAACUCAGAAAUAAAUGUAAUAAAAAUGAAGUUUGGCAAGUGAUUAA
This is a long non-coding RNA of Gopherus flavomarginatus (Mexican gopher tortoise), 763 nucleotides long. RefSeq lists it as uncharacterized. NCBI's taxonomy places the organism in Eukaryota, Metazoa, Chordata, Testudines, Testudinidae. The transcript has 2 exons. The record is from RefSeq and is a predicted model, not a curated record.